Nylanderia fulva is the source of this 466-nucleotide non-coding RNA. NCBI's taxonomy places the organism in Eukaryota, Metazoa, Arthropoda, Insecta, Hymenoptera, Formicidae. The record is from RefSeq and is a predicted model, not a curated record.
UAUUUCGACUUCAGACUAACAAUAAGAAUAUAAGAUAUAUAGUUGCCCAAUGGAGUGGAUAGUAGUACAUUUUAUAGAAGAAAAUUUAGUCGAAGCUGUACCGGUCGCAUGGGUGCAUGAUGAUAUGUGUUAUUGGCCACCGUACACUGGUACACUGGCAAAAAAUUAAUUCAUUCUGUCGCAGUAUGUGAAAAACCAGUAUUCGGUGUAUGGCCAUUAUUUAAAAUUCGAAAAGUGGGAAGUGGACGUACCUAUAAUGAUUUAGUAAAAGCAAGAGCAAAGACGUGUACAGCAGAAGACACAUCAGAUUUGACAUCAAAUCCUGAAAGAAAAAGAAUUCGGAAAAAGAAAAAAUAUCUUUAUGAUACAAACGAAUCACAAAGUUCAUCAACUAAUAAAAGUUCAUCGGAUGAUGAAAUUUCAAAUUCAGCAGAUUUUCCUACUCUACCUGAUUCUGAUAACACAA